GUGUACCCAUACCACAAUCCAAAACGCCCCACAUUCUAGGUAACUAUGGUUUGGCUUGGGGCUGCGGCUCUAAGAGAUGGGUCUAUGAAAGCUUGGGAUAGAGAGGGAUAAAGAACGGCGAGGAGGGAGAUGAGACAGAGAGAGUGGAAGAUUCAUGUGAAAAAAGAAAGAGGGAAAUAGGGAAUUGGGGAUUUGUCUUGGUUUAAUGGA
RNAcentral lists this unclassified non-coding RNA (210 nucleotides) under Hevea brasiliensis (rubber tree). The record is from RNAcentral. Lineage: Eukaryota; Viridiplantae; Streptophyta; Magnoliopsida; Malpighiales; Euphorbiaceae.